Molecule: transfer RNA, 88 nt
Filed under: Bacteroidales bacterium
Lineage: Bacteria; Pseudomonadati; Bacteroidota; Bacteroidia; Bacteroidales
Description: tRNA-Ser
Rfam family: tRNA
About the family: Transfer RNA (tRNA) molecules are approximately 80 nucleotides in length. Their secondary structure includes four short double-helical elements and three loops (D, anti-codon, and T loops).
Source: RNAcentral
GGAGAGGUGGGUGAGUGGCUGAAACCACCAGUUUGCUAAACUGGCGUACCUGUAAAGGGUACCGCGGGUUCGAAUCCCGCCCUCUCCG